AGAGUUUGAUCCUGGCUCACGAUGAACGCUAGCGGCAGGCCUAAUACAUGCAAGUCGAACGAGAUUAAGAGGCUUGCUUCUUAUGAAAGUGGCGCACGGGUGCGUAACGCGUAUGCAACCUACCUUAAUCAGGGGGAUAGCCCGAAGAAAUUCGGAUUAAGACCGCAUAAAAACACAGGAUAGCAUUAUCCAAUGUUCAAAUAUUUAUAGGAUUAAGAUGGGCAUGCGUGUCAUUAGCCAGUUGGCGGGGUAACGGCCCACCAAGGCGACGAUGACUAGGGGAUCUGAGAGGAUGACCCCCCACACUGGUACUGAGACACGGACCAGACUCCUACGGGAGGCAGCAGUAAGGAAUAUUGGUCAAUGGAGGGAACUCUGAACCAGCCAUGCCGCGUGCAGGAAGACAGCCCUCUGGGUCGUAAACUGCUUUUAUUCGGGAAUAAACCUUUCUACGUGUAGGAAGCUGAAUGUACCGAAGGAAUAAGGAUCGGCUAACUCCGUGCCAGCAGCCGCGGUAAUACGGAGGAUCCAAGCGUUAUCCGGAUUUAUUGGGUUUAAAGGGUGCGUAGGCGGCUUAUUAAGUCAGGGGUGAAAGACGGUGGCUCAACCAUCGCAGUGCCCUUGAUACUGAUGAGCUUGAAUACACUAGAGGUAGGCGGAAUGUGACAAGUAGCGGUGAAAUGCAUAGAUAUGUCACAGAACACCGAUUGCGAAGGCAGCUUACUAUGGUGUUAUUGACGCUGAGGCACGAAAGCGCGGGGAUCCAACAGGAUUAGAUACCCUGGUAGUCCACGCCCUAACGAUG
RNAcentral lists this ribosomal RNA (805 nucleotides) under uncultured bacterium. RNAcentral's name for it is "bacterial SSU rRNA". It matches the Rfam family "Bacterial small subunit ribosomal RNA", at positions 8 to 811 of the family's 1533-position model. The record is from RNAcentral.